CCUACGGGUGGCAGCAGUGGGGGAUAUUGCACAAUGGGGGAAACCCUGAUGCAGCGACGCCGCGUGUGGGAAGACGGUCUUCUGGAUUGUAAACCACUGUCCCCAGGGACGAAGAUGACGGUACCUGGGGAGGAAGCGCCGGCUAACUACGCGCCAGCAGCCGCGGUAAUACGUAGGGAGCGAGCGUUGUCCGGAAUUACUGGGGGUAAGGGGAGCGGAGGCGGGACUGCAAGUUGGGUGUCAAAUCUACCGGCUCAACCGGUAGCCGCACUCAAAACUGGAGGUCUUGAGUGAAGUAGAGGCAGGCGGAAUGCCUGGUGUAGCGGUGAAAUGCGUAGAUAUUAGGAGGAACACCAGUGGCGAAGGCGGCCUGCUGGGCUUUUACUGACGCUGAGGCUCGAAAGUGUGGGGAGCAAACAGGAUUAGAUACCCGGGUAGUC
This 440-nucleotide ribosomal RNA is filed under the name uncultured bacterium. RNAcentral's name for it is "partial 16S ribosomal RNA". It matches the Rfam family "Bacterial small subunit ribosomal RNA", at positions 338 to 795 of the family's 1533-position model. The record is from RNAcentral.